RNAcentral lists this unclassified non-coding RNA (20 nucleotides) under Mus musculus (house mouse). Its description in RNAcentral is "oocyte_clustered_small_RNA8732". Lineage: Eukaryota; Metazoa; Chordata; Mammalia; Rodentia; Muridae. The record is from RNAcentral.
UAGUCGCUGCCGCCGUAUGA